Molecule: long non-coding RNA, 577 nt
Organism: Ictalurus punctatus (channel catfish)
Lineage: Eukaryota; Metazoa; Chordata; Actinopteri; Siluriformes; Ictaluridae
Exons: 2
Source: RefSeq, a predicted model, not a curated record
UGUGUGUGUGUGUGUGUGCACUGCAGUGUGAUGGAGGUUUUUGUACGAUGGUUUCAUUAGAAUGUAUCACUGUGGUGGACUUUUGGUGGAGGCUCCAAACUCGUGGUGAACACGGGUACCACAGCUCCCUCCGUGUCUCUGCUCCCUCCGUCCCCACUGCAGCUGUCUGAGGGAUCGGCCUCGCUGCUCUGCCUGCUGUCUGGCUACUCUCCACAGGGGGCGCUGGUGAGCUGGACAGUGGACGGCUCACAGGUGAAGAACGAGGUUCUGACCAGCGCAGAAGAAGAGAAGAACGGCCGUUACAGCCGCAGCAGCACCCUGACCCUCAGCAAAGACCUCUGGGAAAAGGGGGAGGAGUUCAGCUGUAGGGUCUCCCAUAACAACGUCGAUCAUCCGGUCACAUUCAGAAAGAGUCAGUGUGAAGGCUAGUGGUAACACCGAGUUUAACAUAGAGCUGCUUAUGAUCCAUCUACAAUAGAGUUUCAAGUCUACAAAAUGCUGACAUUUCUGUCUUUACUCUCUUCACUGUCCUGUUGCUCUUCCUGUAGUUUUUGCUGAAAUAAAGCUGAGUUUUGGA